AAGAUUAAUACCGCAUAAGAUUGUAGUAUCGCAUGAUAUAGCAAUUAAAGGAGCAAUUCGCUAUAAGAUGGACCCGCGUCGCAUUAGCUAGUUGGUGAGGUAAUGGCUCACCAAGGCGACGAUCCCUAGCUGGUCUGAGAGGAUGACCAGCCACACUGGAACUGAGACACGGUCCAGACUCCUACGGGAGGCAGCAUG
This 198-nucleotide ribosomal RNA is filed under the name uncultured bacterium. RNAcentral describes it as "partial 16S ribosomal RNA". It matches the Rfam family "Bacterial small subunit ribosomal RNA", at positions 159 to 353 of the family's 1533-position model. The record is from RNAcentral.